GUGGAUUAGAUACCCUGGUAGUCCACGCCGUAAACGAUGUCUACUAGCCGUUGGGGUCCUUGAGACUUUAGUGGCGCAGUUAACGCGAUAAGUAGACCGCCUGGGGAGUACGGCCGCAAGGUUAAAACUCAAAUGAAUUGACGGGGGCCCGCACAAGCGGUGGAGCAUGUGGUUUAAUUCGAUGCAACGCGAAGAACCUUACCUGGUCUUGACAUAGUGAGAAUCCUGCAGAGAUGCGGGAGUGCCUUCGGGAAUUCACAUACAGGUGCUGCACGGCCGUCGUCAACU
Molecule: ribosomal RNA, 288 nt
Filed under: uncultured bacterium
Lineage: Bacteria
Description: partial 16S ribosomal RNA
Rfam family: Bacterial small subunit ribosomal RNA
Source: RNAcentral